This 1401-nucleotide ribosomal RNA is filed under the name Staphylococcus aureus. RNAcentral describes it as "bacterial SSU rRNA". It matches the Rfam family "Bacterial small subunit ribosomal RNA". Lineage: Bacteria; Bacillati; Bacillota; Bacilli; Caryophanales; Staphylococcaceae. The record is from RNAcentral.
AUGCAAGUCGAGCGAACGGACGAGAAGCUUGCUUCUCUGAUGUUAGCGGCGGACGGGUGAGUAACACGUGGAUAACCUACCUAUAAGACUGGGAUAACUUCGGGAAACCGGAGCUAAUACCGGAUAAUAUUUUGAACCGCAUGGUUCAAAAGUGAAAGACGGUCUUGCUGUCACUUAUAGAUGGAUCCGCGCUGCAUUAGCUAGUUGGUAAGGUAACGGCUUACCAAGGCAACGAUGCAUAGCCGACCUGAGAGGGUGAUCGGCCACACUGGAACUGAGACACGGUCCAGACUCCUACGGGAGGCAGCAGUAGGGAAUCUUCCGCAAUGGGCGAAAGCCUGACGGAGCAACGCCGCGUGAGUGAUGAAGGUCUUCGGAUCGUAAAACUCUGUUAUUAGGGAAGAACAUAUGUGUAAGUAACUGUGCACAUCUUGACGGUACCUAAUCAGAAAGCCACGGCUAACUACGUGCCAGCAGCCGCGGUAAUACGUAGGUGGCAAGCGUUAUCCGGAAUUAUUGGGCGUAAAGCGCGCGUAGGCGGUUUUUUAAGUCUGAUGUGAAAGCCCACGGCUCAACCGUGGAGGGUCAUUGGAAACUGGAAAACUUGAGUGCAGAAGAGGAAAGUGGAAUUCCAUGUGUAGCGGUGAAAUGCGCAGAGAUAUGGAGGAACACCAGUGGCGAAGGCGACUUUCUGGUCUGUAACUGACGCUGAUGUGCGAAAGCGUGGGGAUCAAACAGGAUUAGAUACCCUGGUAGUCCACGCCGUAAACGAUGAGUGCUAAGUGUUAGGGGGUUUCCGCCCCUUAGUGCUGCAGCUAACGCAUUAAGCACUCCGCCUGGGGAGUACGACCGCAAGGUUGAAACUCAAAGGAAUUGACGGGGACCCGCACAAGCGGUGGAGCAUGUGGUUUAAUUCGAAGCAACGCGAAGAACCUUACCAAAUCUUGACAUCCUUUGACAACUCUAGAGAUAGAGCUUUCCCCUUCGGGGGACAAAGUGACAGGUGGUGCAUGGUUGUCGUCAGCUCGUGUCGUGAGAUGUUGGGUUAAGUCCCGCAACGAGCGCAACCCUUAAGCUUAGUUGCCAUCAUUAAGUUGGGCACUCUAAGUUGACUGCCGGUGACAAACCGGAGGAAGGUGGGGAUGACGUCAAAUCAUCAUGCCCCUUAUGAUUUGGGCUACACACGUGCUACAAUGGACAAUACAAAGGGCAGCGAAACCGCGAGGUCAAGCAAAUCCCAUAAAGUUGUUCUCAGUUCGGAUUGUAGUCUGCAACUCGACUACAUGAAGCUGGAAUCGCUAGUAAUCGUAGAUCAGCAUGCUACGGUGAAUACGUUCCCGGGUCUUGUACACACCGCCCGUCACACCACGAGAGUUUGUAACACCCGAAGCCGGUGGAGUA